RNAcentral lists this long non-coding RNA (4809 nucleotides) under Gallus gallus (chicken). RNAcentral describes it as "lncRNA (ENSGALG00010005013.1)". The record is from RNAcentral. Lineage: Eukaryota; Metazoa; Chordata; Aves; Galliformes; Phasianidae.
GGCACGCCAAAUUGCCUAGAUCUGACAAAAGUUUACUUAAGUAAGGACACCAUUUACGAAUAGUUUUCAUGAUAUUUUUGCUAGACAUGCAAAAACUAAAGCCUCAUCUUCUGUUUUAUUUAAAGUUGUAUCCAUGAGCGACCUCUCAUUCUGGAAAAAGUGAGUCAGAAAUAUUGACUUGCUGUAGUUGCUUGCAACUACACUUACACUCUUCAGUUGCUUGCUAGCCAGGCAUUUGUUUUCCAUACUGGUUUGCUGAAAGUCUACAUUACAGAAAGCUGAAGUCUACAUCAAGAUUCCCAACCUCCAGUAUGGUUCAUGUUCACAAUUAACAGAAGUACGUUAUUUCUUUCUAUAGCAGUAGUGUCUUAGAAAUUGAUAUGCACCAAAACACCACACUAAAAGAACAGUAUUAAUGUUGCAAGUCAAAUUCUUAUAAAUUAUGAAGUUCAAGUGUUUCAAAUUUCUUUUGCCUCCUUAUUUCAGUCUCUUUAUGAGUGAGUUUGCAUUAUGAUAAAUUAUGUUAUUGCUUACUAUUCUUUGCACAGGACCUGUGCCCUAUGGGUUCUUGCCCAGUCAGCCCCACUAUCACACUCCUCACCUCUGAGCUUUUUAAUCAAAAUUCUUGGAAAUCUUGUUCUUGGAAGUGACUGAAGUGCUUUAGCUGACGCUUUCCCGAGCAAGUCUCUGAGGUAUACGUACAGCAGGGAAUGGUUCCAGAAUGCAAACAAUAAAAACUUAGCAAGGCUAUAAGCAGUUGGGAAUGCGCUCUUCUGUUAAACUAUAGAGAAGACAAACAAGUUUUACUUUUCCUAAGUGAUAUGAGAGCUGUGUUGAACAUAACCUAUCUUGUGCCCAACAAAAGAUAAGAUGUCAGUAUAACUUGCUCACAGUUACAACAUAAACAGCGAAGCAUUAUCUGGGUUUCAAGUUAUUGCUGGCAAACUCCCAUUGUAAUAACCAGCAUUCCAAAUCUAUCCUUUGAUUACAGACCCUGAAAAAGGAAAAACUGCUAAGUCACUUGAAAUGUAGAGUGAAUAUAGAGUAAAAGAUUUAGAGUUAAAUAUUAUCUCUUUCCCCCUUAGCAGCAAGGAGUUCUUAUAGGGAAACUCCCUUCUUUGACUGUCUUUUAGUAACAGUAAUAACAGUUCUUCUGGAAUAAAAAGAGAAGACAAUUGAGCUUUUUUGGAGUUCCUAGCUUUUCUGUUGCUACUCAACCUGAUCCUCUUUCCAGAAGGAAUAAAAGAACGUUCAAAGAAGGGGUCAGAAAAGAGAAACAAGACAGAAAAUGCAGUUUCUGCCUAAGGUAUGACUAAGAUAAUCACAACUGGAGAACCUCAGGCACAGCGUACAUUCUGAUCAGAUGUCCAGGGCUGAGACAGGGUUAUAUCAGCACUGAUCACAGCACCUGCUGUCAGCUUCAUUUCGCUUGUUUUACAGUUGCAUUAAAAAAGAUAGAGUUCCAGACUAUGAGAAAAAAGAGGGGAAAAAGUAGAGUGGGAAAGCUCCCCCCCCACUCUUCCCUUUUGCCACCCCAAAUCUCAGGCACAUAAGAGCAGGACCCUAGGUUUUUAGGUGGUGGGGGAGUUCACAUGGUCAAACUGACUUGUUCAGCAUAGCUUGAGCUGGGCAUUUCACAAAAAUGCCCUUCACCCUACAUGGUGGGAGAGCACAUUGUAUUCUUUUCCAACGUAAACAUUUCCUCCAUCUCAAUUCUUUCAGCUCGUGGUAACCUAUGGCUUCACUACAAAUCUUGAAAUUUCAUUAUUGGAACUAAGCAUCAAUUCAGGUCUAUUUUUUAUUGUCCUUUAAUAAUCUUUUUUUGAAUGUAUUGCUUUGUAGGGCAAAAAGUAUACAGGCACCAUAAGGGGCAGGCAUACAAAAGUGAAAAGAGGAGUAAGACAAAAUGAUUGGUUCAUUGUUUAUCUUAGUGUUACUCAACAGUCAACUGAUCAAAUAAAACCAUUCUUCACUGAAGUCUCAGGUUUGUUCAUGGAAUCCUGAUUAUAAAAUGCAAACCUGGCUUUGUAAAAAGACAGAAAAUGUUAAUGACAAGUUCCACUCUGUGUACUUGAGAAUACACUGUUUUUCUUCUCACUGUUAUUCCAUCAGUUAUGUUACAAGUCUUAUUCCCCAGGGAUUUAUACUUAAGAGAUGUGCAGCUUAGAGAAAACUCUGGAUGAGAACAUACUCAAAUUUCCUGACACUAAUUAGAGAUGUCUCUAGAUACAUGUCAGCAUUUGCCGUUGUAAUCCAUCACUAUAUUUUUCUGUUCAAUCUUGCUUUUGCAACUGUCUUUCCUUAAUUUCUUUAUUUGAUGAAAUGAGACGUUUGUCAGAAAAUUCUUCUUCCACAGGUUUAUGUGAUUAUAUAUUGUUCUGGUUCUAAAUUAUAGCUCAUAUAAUUAUAGCAGCAUUUUCUGCAUUACAAAUUUUUACUAUUUCUCAUUCAAUGAUAAGAUCGAGAAAAUUUUCACUUGGAACCACAAAAUAACUGCUGUGUCCUUUUCAAAGUCAAAGAUUCAUCCAAACACAACUGUGACUCCUUCAGGAUAAGAAUGCUGUAUAGCUUCUAAUAAGAUGGAGUUCUGAUUCUAUUUUAUAACUUAAUUUCACAGUCAAAAAUAGCAUAAAAAGAGGCCUCCUGUAAAAAUGAAUCCUUAUCUGAUCGUACAAAGUUGUAAAUUUUACGCCCAAGCGACACUGAACUGCAUCCAUUACAUGAUGUUGUAACUCCAGUAGAUGUCCAUGUACUCAAACUCCGUUCACUGAAAAACUAGACUUCCUAAAGAACUGCACUGGGAAGGAAAUUCCCAGUAGGGGUUCCUUUGUGAGAUGAACUUUUUUGCAAAGACUUAUUUCAUCAUGGUAGCCAAAACCCAGGAAGAUAAUGUAGAGAAACACAGUGGAGUACAAAUCUAACUCAAGUAAUCAAGAUAGACAUCUGUGUGCAGCUAUAAAUGCAACAUGGCUUAAGGGACCAGUGGUAGGAACCUGUGCCUAAAAGCAGCUCCCAGACCCUAGAUGACUAUGAUGAUGCCUAUGAUUUUAUGAUUCUAUGACUGCUCAUAAUUCUUUCUCAUACAAGUUUGUUCACUGUUGCACUGUAUCAGAGCUGACCUUGAACACACAUGAACAGACUCCUGGCUGGGAGAAAGAAGCUGCACUCGGCUGAUGCCUGCGAUUCCAGGUAAGAAAAUAAAAAGGAACAGGAAAAAAAAAAGAGAGAAAGGAGGGAAGAAAAGGGGAAGGAAGAGAACAUCUGUGGAAAAAGAGAGGAAAAGGGCCUCAGAUUCUGGAUUCCAAAAAACUGCACUGGAGAAGCUUGUUUUGGAAAGCUGAAAAUAUUAUUGUACACACUGCUUCGGAGGCCCAUGGUGUACCAUAUAUACAAGAGAAGGUGCUACAGGGUUAUUGCAAAGGAAAGAGACAUGAUGUAAGUGACCACUGGAGAUGGCUGGAGAGAGUUAAUGAAUGUUCUGAAGUGGAGGAUCAAGAUUAAGACAUUUUGGGAGACAUUGUCCUGCUUGGUCACUAAGAACUUGCAGCUGAUUUGAAGACUCUGGACUUUCCCAGAAGACACACUGGUCUACAGGGCAGCUACAGCUUUUGAUCUUACUCUCUUCAAAAAGAUAAGGCUGCACUCCAAAGACAGGCCUCCUCCUUUGCUAAAAGCUCUCUUUGUGUGCUCAAAUUGAAGAAUGAGAAUGUACAAGAUGGAAGAUCAGCAUGGAGGACAUCUUUUGCAGCGCUGAAUCAGAGGUGGGAGAUGUACUCUACCCGAGAAAAGUUUCUCUCAUGGAGGACAGAAGUGUUGGUGAAUGUAGGGUGUGUUUGAGAUUUUAAAGGGGAGAUGGGCUAUCUGUUGCUGUGUGUAAAACUGGAGGAAGAAAAUAUGUCCCAGCUCAGACUAUGCUCAAUAGAGGGAGAGACCAGUUCCCAGUUCCCAGCUAGGUCCAGCCUAUUAUUUCCAUUUAUUAAUUAGGUGAAUAAUAUCCUAUUAUUAGGUCCAGCAGAAUUAUUUAGGCUGGCACCCAGUGCAGGAUAUUAGAGAGCAGUUAAAUCCUCUCAGAGAGCUUCGGUAAAAGGCAAUCUAUAAAAACAAAUCUUACAUUUGGUCAUCAUUAAUACGCUGGAAAAUAAAUGAAGGUAUAACUAUGCUCUGCAAUUUUUAUUUCAUUUAUGAAGACUGUGCCACAUGGCAUACAUGCUCUGUCUGUGCUGUUAAGCACAUGAUGUGAGAAAUGGUGGUGUGAGGACUUAGAAUGGAAGAAGAAAGACAUAGUCCAUGCUGAAGCAAAGCAGAAAAUAUUUUAGCUUUAUUUUAUGAAUUCAUAGAUUUCUUAGAGGUCUGCAUGGAGCUUUCAUAGAGGUUGAUUUAGAGAUCAGGCCUAGUGACAAGUCCCAGGUUAAUUCUGUAGCAGCUGCCAAAUCCCUCAGUAAGGCACACUGUACAACAAUGGCUACUCUAGUCUCUAAAGAAAUAUUUUAGUAAUGUUUCUGGAGUGGCUAGUGUAGUGUACAGUGAAAAUGCCUGUGCCUCUGCCAGUAUGGAGCCAAACAAGACUUACCUAAGCCUGGGUUACCCUAGAACUGAUCUUCUUACCAAACUCCCAAAUAAAAUGCAAAAUAUUACAAAUUCCUCUUUCCUUACUUUUUAAAAAUUCAAUGAAAUUUUUAGAAGAGAGGGGAAAAUUAUAAGUGAAGGGAAAAUGUUGCAUGAUUCCUUAGCUAGACACCUGGAAAUCAGUCAGCCCUUGAGACAAUCUUGGAAUAGAUAUGUGAUUCCUUGAUCUUCUUUAUCAACAAG